RNAcentral lists this ribosomal RNA (250 nucleotides) under uncultured bacterium. Its description in RNAcentral is "partial 16S ribosomal RNA". It matches the Rfam family "Bacterial small subunit ribosomal RNA", at positions 524 to 773 of the family's 1533-position model. The record is from RNAcentral.
UACGGAGGUUCCAAGCGUUGUUCGGAAUUACUGGGCGUAAAGGGAGCGCAGGCGGAUAGGUCAGUUUAAAGUGGAAUCCCAGGGCUCAACCCUGGAAGUGCUUUGGAUACUGCCUAUCUUGAGUUCGUGAGAGGAAAGUGGAAUUCAGGGUGUAGCGGUGAAAUGCUUAGAUAUCCUGAGGAACACCAGUGGCGAAAGCGACUUUCUGGCACGUAACUGACGCUGAGGCUCGAAAGCAUGGGUAGCGAAC